Molecule: ribosomal RNA, 1068 nt
Filed under: Chetoneura cavernae
Lineage: Eukaryota; Metazoa; Arthropoda; Insecta; Diptera; Keroplatidae
Also listed under: 1 other name
Description: bacterial SSU rRNA
Rfam family: Eukaryotic small subunit ribosomal RNA
Source: RNAcentral
GCCAUGCAUGUCUAAGUACAAGCGAAAAUAAAGUGAAACCGCAAAAGGCUCAUUAUAUCAGUUAUGGUUCCUUAGAUCGUAUCCACAAUUACUUGGAUAACUGUGGUAAUUCUAGAGCUAAUACAUGCAAUUAAAGAGAAACCAAUGAAAAUUGGGAUCUCUGCUUUUAUUAGAUUUAAACCAAUGGGGAUUGUUUCGGCAUUCUCAAAUAAAAUGGUUGAACUCUGGAUAAUUUGUUGAUCGCAUGGUCUUGUACCGGCGACGGAUCUUUCAAAUAUCUGCCCUAUCAACUAUUGAAGGUAGUGUCUUGGACUACCUUGGUUGCAACGGGUAACGGGGAAUCAGGGUUCGAUUCCGGAGAGGGAGCCUGAGAAACGGCUACCACAUCUAAGGAAGGCAGCAGGCGCGUAAAUUACCCACUCCCGGCACGGGGAGGUAGUGACGAAAAAUAACAAUACAAGACUCACAUCCGAGGCCUUGUAAUUGGAAUGAGUAAACUUUAAAUCCUUUUACGAGGAUCAAUUGGUGAGCAAGCCUGGUGCCAGCCGUCGCGGUAAUUCCAGCACCAAUAGCGUAUAUUAAAGUUGUUGCGGUUAAAACGUUCGUAGUUGAACUUGUGUUUCGCACGGGUAAUACCUGGGACUAGGUAACUAGGACGGUAUUUAUCUUAUCUUUCCAUUUUCUCAUUGGGAAUUUGGAAAAAGUGCGUGAACGUAUUAUCGGCGUGAUCAAUAAAUAGUUUUAUUAAAUGAAUGAUUGACACAUAAGCCCAUUUCAGUGCUCUUCACCGAGUGUUGUUGUGGGCCGAUACAAAUUACUUUGAACAAAUUAGAGUGCUUAAUGCAGGCUUGUAAUGCCUGAAUAUUUUUUGCAUGGAAUAAUGAAAUAGGACAUCUGUUCUACUUUCAUUGGUUUUUUAGACCAAGAUGUAAUGAUUAAUGGAAGCAGUUGGGGGCAUUAGUAUUACAACGCGAGAGGUGAAAUUCUUAGACCGUUGUAAGACUGACUAAAGCGAAAGCAUUUGCCAAAAAUGUUUUCAUUAAUCAAGAACGAAAGUUAGAGUUUCGA